CUGCCUCGCACUUCGGGAUAAGCCUGGGAAACUGGGUCUAAUACCGGAUAUGACCUGCUGUCGCAUGGCGGUGGGUGGAAAGAUUUAUCGGUGCGAGAUGGGCCCGCGGCCUAUCAGCUUGUUGGUGGGGUAAUGGCCUACCAAGGCGACGACGGGUAGCCGGCCUGAGAGGGCGACCGGCCACACUGGGACUGAGACACGGCCCAGACUCCUACGGGAGGCAGCAGUGGGGAAUAUUGCACAAUGGGCGAAAGCCUGAUGCAGCGACGCCGCGUGAGGGAUGACGGCCUUCGGGUUGUAAACCUCUUUCGACAGGGACGAAGCGUGAGUGACGGUACCUGUAGAAGAAGCACCGGCCAACUACGUGCCAGCAGCCGCGGUAAUACGUAGGGUGCGAGCGUUGUCCGGAAUUACUGGGCGUAAAGAGCUUGUAGGCGGUUUGUCGCGUCGUCCGUGAAAACUUGGGGCUCAACCCCAAGCUUGCGGGCGAUACGGGCAGACUUGAGUACUGCAGGGGAGACUGGAAUUCCUGGUGUAGCGGUGAAAUGCGCAGAUAUCAGGAGGAACACCGGUGGCGAAGGCGGGUCUCUGGGCAGUAACUGACGCUGAGAAGCGAAAGCGU
Molecule: ribosomal RNA, 622 nt
Filed under: Nocardia abscessus
Lineage: Bacteria; Bacillati; Actinomycetota; Actinomycetes; Mycobacteriales; Nocardiaceae
Description: bacterial SSU rRNA
Rfam family: Bacterial small subunit ribosomal RNA
Source: RNAcentral